AUGAACGCUGGCGGCGUGCCUAAUACAUGCAAGUCGAGCGAACGGACGAGAAGCUUGCUUUUCUGAUGUUAGCGGCGGACGGGUGAGUAACACGUGGAUAACCUACCUAUAAGACUGGGAUAACUUCGGGAAACCGGAGCUAAUACCGGAUAAUAUUUUGAACCGCAUGGUUCAAAAGUGAAAGACGGUCUUGCUGUCACUUAUAGAUGGAUCCGCGCUGCAUUAGCUAGUUGGUAAGGUAACGGCUUACCAAGGCAACGAUGCAUAGCCGACCUGAGAGGGUGAUCGGCCACACUGGAACUGAGACACGGUCCAGACUCCUACGGGAGGCAGCAGUAGGGAAUCUUCCGCAAUGGGCGAAAGCUUGACGGAGCAACGCCGCGUGAGUGAUGAAGGUCUUCGGAUCGUAAAACUCUGUUAUUAGGGAAGAACAAAUGUGUAAGUAACUAUGCACGUCUUGACGGUACCUAAUCAGAAAGCCACGGCUAACUACGUG
This 496-nucleotide ribosomal RNA is filed under the name uncultured bacterium. RNAcentral's name for it is "partial 16S ribosomal RNA". It matches the Rfam family "Bacterial small subunit ribosomal RNA", at positions 29 to 507 of the family's 1533-position model. The record is from RNAcentral.